GCCAUGGCGGAGUACUCCGCAUCUAUCCCGCUGAAUAGUGAUGCUGAUCCAGAGGAUCCGGAGAGGUCUUCCUCCAAUUCCUCUGCCCGCAAGGCUUGCUUUGCUGUUCUUCAAAGCUGGAUUUCAAGAAAAUUUAUGACUGGAUGUGUGGUUCUUUUUCCAGUGGCUAUUACAUUUUUCAUUACCUGGUCGUUUAUCCAGUUUGUGGAUGGUUUCUUCAGUCCAUUAUAUGCCAAUCUUGGAGUUCAUAUAUUUGGUGUUGGAUUUUGCAACAUCACUUGUGUUUAUAUUGCUUGUUGGU
Dioscorea cayenensis subsp. rotundata (Guinea yam) is the source of this 301-nucleotide long non-coding RNA. RefSeq lists it as uncharacterized. The transcript has 4 exons. NCBI's taxonomy places the organism in Eukaryota, Viridiplantae, Streptophyta, Magnoliopsida, Dioscoreales, Dioscoreaceae. The record is from RefSeq and is a predicted model, not a curated record.